RNAcentral lists this ribosomal RNA (497 nucleotides) under uncultured bacterium. RNAcentral's name for it is "partial 16S ribosomal RNA". It matches the Rfam family "Bacterial small subunit ribosomal RNA", at positions 28 to 507 of the family's 1533-position model. The record is from RNAcentral.
GAUGAACGCUGGCGGCGUGCCUAAUACAUGCAAGUCGAGCGAACGGACGAGAAGCUUGCUUCUCUGAUGUUAGCGGCGGACGGGUGAGUAACACGUGGAUAACCUACCUAUAAGACUGGGAUAACUUCGGGAACCCGGAGCUAAUACCGGAUAAUAUUUUGAACCGCAUGGUUCAAAAGUGAAAGACGGUCUUGCUGUCACUUAUAGAUGGAUCCGCGCUGCAUUAGCUAGUUGGUAAGGUAACGGCUUACCAAGGCAACGAUGCAUAGCCGACCUGAGAGGGUGAUCGGCCACACUGGAACUGAGACACGGUCCAGACUCCUACGGGAGGCAGCAGUAGGGAAUCUUCCGCAAUGGGCGAAAGCCUGACGGAGCAACGCCGCGUGAGUGAUGAAGGUCUUCGGAUCGUAAAACUCUGUUACUAGGGAAGAACAUAUGUGUAAGUAACUGUGCACAUCUUGACGGUACCUAAUCAGAAAGCCACGGCUAACUACGUG